This 542-nucleotide ribosomal RNA is filed under the name Rhodococcus sp. SCPB-7. Its description in RNAcentral is "bacterial SSU rRNA". It matches the Rfam family "Bacterial small subunit ribosomal RNA", at positions 370 to 883 of the family's 1533-position model. Lineage: Bacteria; Bacillati; Actinomycetota; Actinomycetes; Mycobacteriales; Nocardiaceae. The record is from RNAcentral.
UAUGGGCGAAAGCUGAUGCAGCGAUCGCCGCGUGGAGGGGAUGACGGGCCCUUACGGGGUUGUAAACGCUCUUUCAGCAGUGACGAAGACGCAAGUGACGGUACACUGCAGAAGUAAGCACCGGCUAACUACGUGCCAGCAGCCGCGUGUAAUACGUAGGGGUGCAUAGCGUUGUACCGGAAUUACUGUGGCGUAACAGAGUUACGUAGGGCGGUUUAGCUCGACGAUCGUUAUGUGCAAAAGCCAGCAGCUCAACUGCUGGUCUUGCAGGCGAUACGGGCAGACUUGAGUACUGCAGGGGAGACUGGAAUUCCCUGGUGUAGCGGUGAAAUGUCGCAGAUAUCUAGGAGGAACACCGGUGGCGAAGGCGGGUCUCUGGGCAGUAAACUGACGCUGAGGAACGAAAGGCGUGGGUAGCGAUACAGGAUUAGAUACCCUGGUAGUCCACGCCGUACAACGGUGGGACGCAAUAGGUGUGGGUUCGCUUCCACGGAAUCCGUGCUCGUAGCUAACGCAUUAAGCGACCUCCGCAUGGGGAGUAC